AGGAGAACUUUGUACGGUGCGUGCCCAUGGCAGAAGUUCAGAGUCUUUGUUGAAUAAACAAGUGCGCCUCUGUCAGAUACGUGCAUGGGAAUGUGUUCUCCCAGUUGCUGGCUUGCCUAUUAGGGAGGUCUUCCGCUUAACACAAGCACCUCACUGGAAUGACCCAGGACUUCGGAAACUGUAUCCUGUCAUGUACGUUACAGUGACGAUAAAAUGAAUACUUACAAACCGCCCCCAAAGUAGAACAUGAGCCCUGCGUUGGGCAGCAUGCCCUUCCUUAUGGGAACUGCUCCCUCAGAGAGAACUACUGUGACCAUUUUCAUGCUUUAAAAAAGUGUUAACCCGUAUGAAUCCAUCUCUAAACAACAUGUUGCUCAGUUUUGCUUGUUUUUGAGAUUUAUAAAAACAGUGUCUUAUAGUGUGGUGUUUUGUUUUGGCCUUCUGAGGCUUUCUUUCACUCCCUUUUUCUUCUAGGAUCCAUCUUUAUUGCUGCAGAUGGGUAUAGGUCCAUUCCCACACUAUAACAUUCUAGUAUGUGGAUUUUUCCCAUUUGUGCAUUAGCACGUCCACGGAAAUAGGGGAUGUUCUCAGUAUUCUUUUUUUAAUUUCAAAGAAUGCAGUUGUGAUUCAGCUUGCUAAUAUGUCCUUAUUCAUCUGUGCAAGAGUUCCUCUAAAGUAUAACUUUAGGAGUGGAAAACCCUGCUCAUGGGAUGGGUAUAUACUGGCUUUUACAAAAUACUGAAUUUUCCACAGUGGUUUUCCAAAUGUGUCUGAAUGUUUUC
Molecule: long non-coding RNA, 782 nt
Filed under: Ursus maritimus (polar bear)
Lineage: Eukaryota; Metazoa; Chordata; Mammalia; Carnivora; Ursidae
Description: lncRNA (ENSUMAG00000014282.1)
Source: RNAcentral